RNAcentral lists this ribosomal RNA (478 nucleotides) under uncultured bacterium. Its description in RNAcentral is "partial 16S ribosomal RNA". It matches the Rfam family "Bacterial small subunit ribosomal RNA", at positions 28 to 523 of the family's 1533-position model. The record is from RNAcentral.
GACGAACGCUGGCGGCGUGCUUAACACAUGCAAGUCGAACGGUAAGGCCCUUCGGGGUACACGAGUGGCGAACGGGUGAGUAACACGUGGGUGAUCUGCCCUGCACUUUGGGUUAAGCCUGGGAAAAUGGGUCUAAUACCGGAUAGGACCAUGCGACUCACGGUGUGUGGUGGAAAGCUUUUGCGGUGUGGGAUGGGCCCGCGGCCUAUCAGCUUUUUGGUGGGGUAAUGGCCUACCAAGGCGACGACGGGUAGCCGGCCUGAGAGGGUGACCGGCCACACUGGGACUGAGAUACGGCCCAGACUCCUACGGGAGGCAGCAGUGGGGAAUAUUGCACAAUGGGCGCAAGCCUGAUGCAGCGACGCCGCGUGAGGGAUGACGGCCUUCGGGUUGUAAACCUCUUUCAGUAGGGACGAAGCGCAAGUGACGGUACCUACAGAAGAAGGACCGGCCAACUACGUGCCAGCCGCCGCCGUAA